Molecule: ribosomal RNA, 467 nt
Filed under: uncultured bacterium
Lineage: Bacteria
Description: partial 16S ribosomal RNA
Rfam family: Bacterial small subunit ribosomal RNA
Source: RNAcentral
GACGAACGCUGGCGGCGUGCUUAACACAUGCAAGUCGAACGGAAAGGCCUCUUUCGGGGGGUACUCGAGUGGCGAACGGGUGAGUAACACGUGAGUAACCUGCCCUUGACUUUGGGAUAACUUCAGGAAACUGGGGCUAAUACCGGAUAGGAGCUCCUGCUGCAUGGUGGGGGUUGGAAAGUUUCGGCGGUUGGGGAUGGACUCGCGGCUUAUCAGCUUGUUGGUGGGGUAGUGGCUUACCAAGGCUUUGACGGGUAUCCGGCCUGAGAGGGUGACCGGCCACAUUGGGACUGAGAUACGGCCCAGACUCCUACGGGAGGCAGCAGUGGGGAAUAUUGCACAAUGGGUGGAAGCCUGAUGCAGCAACGCCGUGUGCGGGAUGACGGCCUUCGGGUUGGAAACCGCUUUCGCUCAUGACGAAGCUUUGUGUGACGGUAGUGGGUAAAGAAGCACCGGCUAACUACGUG